AACGAACGCUGGCGGCAUGCCUAACACAUGCAAGUCGAACGAGACCUUCGGGUCUAGUGGCGCACGGGUGCGUAACGCGUGGGAACCUGCCCUUAGGUUCGGAAUAACUCCCCGAAAGGGGUGCUAAUACCGGAUAAUGUCUUCGGACCAAAGAUUUAUCGCCUUUGGAUGGGCCCGCGUUGGAUUAGCUAGUUGGUAGGGUAAAAGCCUACCAAGGCGACGAUCCUUAGCUGGUCUGAGAGGAUGAUCAGCCACACUGGGACUGAGACACGGCCCAGAAUCCUACGGGAGGGAGGAGUGGGGAAUAUUGGACGAUGGGCGAAAGCCUGAUCCAGCAAUGCCGCGUGAGUGAUGAAGGCCUUAGGGUUGUAAAGCUCUUUUACACGGGAUGAUAAUGACGGUACCGGGAGAAUAAGCUCCGGCUAACUACGUG
This 433-nucleotide ribosomal RNA is filed under the name uncultured bacterium. RNAcentral describes it as "partial 16S ribosomal RNA". It matches the Rfam family "Bacterial small subunit ribosomal RNA", at positions 29 to 507 of the family's 1533-position model. The record is from RNAcentral.